ACGGAAGGCAGCGGUAGGGAAUAUUGCACAAUGGGGGAAACCCUGAUGCAGCAACGCCACGUGUGGGAAGAAGCAUUUCGGUGUGUAAACCGCUGUCGUGAGGGAAUAAGGCUUAUUUUCGGAUAAGUUGAAUGUACUUUGAAAGGAAGCACCGGCAAACUUCGUGCCAGCAGCCGCGGUAAUACGAGGGGUGCAAGCGUUGUUCGGAAGCACUGGGCGUAAAGGGAGCGCAGGCGGAGAUGCAAGCAGUCUGUACAAUACCGGGGCCCAACCCCGGACCUGCAGACUGGACUGUUUCUCUUGGAUAGCUCAGGGGCUGGCGGAAUGCCUGGUGUAGCGGUGGAAUGCGUAGAGAUCAGGAAGAACACCGAUGGCGAAGGCAGCCAGCUGGGGGCUUAUCGGCGCUCAUGCUCGAAAGUGCGGGUAGCAAACAGGAUUAGAUACCCUGGUA
This 451-nucleotide ribosomal RNA is filed under the name uncultured Fibrobacter sp. Its description in RNAcentral is "partial 16S ribosomal RNA". It matches the Rfam family "Bacterial small subunit ribosomal RNA", at positions 341 to 792 of the family's 1533-position model. Lineage: Bacteria; Pseudomonadati; Fibrobacterota; Fibrobacteria; Fibrobacterales; Fibrobacteraceae. The record is from RNAcentral.